RNAcentral lists this ribosomal RNA (253 nucleotides) under uncultured Lactobacillus sp. Its description in RNAcentral is "partial 16S ribosomal RNA". It matches the Rfam family "Bacterial small subunit ribosomal RNA", at positions 524 to 776 of the family's 1533-position model. Lineage: Bacteria; Bacillati; Bacillota; Bacilli; Lactobacillales; Lactobacillaceae. The record is from RNAcentral.
UACGUAGGUGGCAAGCGUUAUCCGGAUUUAUUGGGCGUAAAGCGAGCGCAGGCGGUUGCUUAGGUCUGAUGUGAAAGCCUUCGGCUUAACCGAAGAAGUGCAUCGGAAACCGGGCGACUUGAGUGCAGAAGAGGACAGUGGAACUCCAUGUGUAGCGGUGAAAUGCAUAGAUAUCACACAGAACACCGAUUGCGAAGGCAUCUCACGAAUCCGCGAUUGACGCUGAUGCACGAAAGCGUGGGUAUCAAACAGG